Long non-coding RNA from Apis florea (little honeybee), 438 nucleotides. Lineage: Eukaryota; Metazoa; Arthropoda; Insecta; Hymenoptera; Apidae. The record is from RefSeq and is a predicted model, not a curated record.
UAUUGAAGCUGAUUUUUUCCUUUCAACGAUUAUUCCUUUAAUUACAAUUGACAAUUGAUCGAUACUGGACCAUAAAUAAAUUAAUCACCAGUAAUAAAAACUAUUACUAAUAUUACAACGAUUAAAUUACAACUCAAUUACAUACUAUAUCUUCUAUAAGGAUAAGAAUGGAUGCAAACAUAUUUAAAAAUUUGCAAUUCUAUGCAAUUCAAAAGUUUAAGGAGCGGCGUACGGCAACGAACGAGCCAUUUUGGGGGGUCAAAGUUAUUCACGCCGGUGUGUAGCUGCGGCCAAACAGCGGUGGAGCUAAGAAGUAACGGCGGUGGAGGUUUACGGCCGAUGCCAGAUUCGUGGAAAGUGUAUUCAAGUAUUCUCGAGGAAUCUCGUAUGAUUUACGAUAAGAGAGAGAGAGAGAGAGAGAGAGAGAGAGGAGGAGGA